Molecule: ribosomal RNA, 492 nt
Filed under: uncultured bacterium
Lineage: Bacteria
Description: partial 16S ribosomal RNA
Rfam family: Bacterial small subunit ribosomal RNA
Source: RNAcentral
AGUGAACGCUGGCGGUAGGUCUAACACAUGCAAGUCGAACGGCAGCACAGUAAGAGCUUGCUCUUACGGGUGGCGAGUGGCGGACGGGUGAGGAAUACAUCGGAAUCUACUUUUUCGUGGGGGAUAACGUAGGGAAACUUACGCUAAUACCGCAUACGACCUACGGGUGAAAGCAGGGGAUCUUCGGACCUUGCGCGAUUGAAUGAGCCGAUGUCGGAUUAGCUAGUUGGCGGGGUAAAGGCCCACCAAGGCGACGAUCCGUAGCUGGUCUGAGAGGAUGAUCAGCCACACUGGAACUGAGACACGGUCCAGACUCCUACGGGAGGCAGCAGUGGGGAAUACUGGACAAUGGGCGCAAGCCUGAUCCAGCCAUACCGCGUGGGUGAAGAAGGCCUUCGGGUUGUAAAGCCCUUUUGUUGGGAAAGAAAAGCAGCAGGUUAAUACCCCGCUGUUCUGACGGUACCCAAAGAAUAAGCACCGGCUAACUUCGUG